This 496-nucleotide ribosomal RNA is filed under the name uncultured bacterium. RNAcentral's name for it is "partial 16S ribosomal RNA". It matches the Rfam family "Bacterial small subunit ribosomal RNA", at positions 28 to 507 of the family's 1533-position model. The record is from RNAcentral.
GAUGAACGCUGGCGGCGUGCCUAAUACAUGCAAGUCGAGCGAACAGACGAGGAGCUUACUCCUCUGACGUUAGCGGCGGACGGGUGAGUAACACGUGGAUAACCUACCUAUAAGACUGGGAUAACUUCGGGAAACCGGAGCUAAUACCGGAUAACAUGUUGAACCGCAUGGUUCAACAGUGAAAGACGGUCUUGCUGUCACUUAUAGAUGGAUCCGCGUCGCAUUAGCUAGUUGGUAGGUAACGGCUUACCAAGGCAACGAUGCGUAGCCGACCUGAGAGGGUGAUCGGCCACACUGGAACUGAGACACGGUCCAGACUCCUACGGGAGGCAGCAGUAGGGAAUCUUCCGCAAUGGGCGAAAGCCUGACGGAGCAACGCCGCGUGAGUGAAGAAGGUCUUCGGAUCGUAAAACUCUGUUAUUAGGGAAGAACAAAUGUGUAAGUAACUAUGCACGUCUUGACGGUACCUAAUCAGAAAGCCACGGCUAACUACGUG